Molecule: long non-coding RNA, 39062 nt
Filed under: Triticum aestivum (bread wheat)
Lineage: Eukaryota; Viridiplantae; Streptophyta; Magnoliopsida; Poales; Poaceae
Description: long non-coding RNA (TAES_LNC022027)
Source: RNAcentral
CUGUGCAGUCCGACGGUGCUUGCAUGCUUGUAUCCGGUAGCAUACAUUGCGGAUGUAUCAAAAGGCAAGCACCGAUCUCUUUCGUUACUAAACAAUAGUGUGUGCUAUUUGAUGAAAUGGAUUCACAAUGAAGUGGGCAAAAUUUCUCGUGUUUAAGUUGAGUCAUUGUGGCCUUAAUCAUCUUGUGCGAGUAGAAAAAAUUUGGUUGCUUCACAUGUGCCUGUGCGGCUCUGUUGGUGGUUUUCUGCCUGAGGUUGAAGAUGACAGCCAACCUGGACUGCCAGCCCACGCGCGGAUUAGGCGCUGCCUGCAGCUGCAGGAGAGGUUGGCCUACAGUUGGAGGAGGCCCUGGCCUUCAGCUGGCAAUUUAGAGGAACUUGCCACUAUGAAAAUCUGAAAAUCUAACUUGACACCAUACUUGUUUUUGUUCUUCAGAAGUUCAGGUAGCUAGCUUGCUCACUAUGAAAACCUUCUCUGUAUGUGCUAAUUAGUACGUACUACUAAGCAAAAAUAAUCUUGUGAAGUGGAUGACGCUGGCCAUGGGAGAUUUUGAUGGCACUAUAGUGAUGACAACCUCCAGCAGUUCGCAUAUACCCCAGGCCGCAGCCCAGCUUCUCCGUCAUUAGCGUGACAUGCAACACCACACCACUACAGACACUUCCCUGAAUUUACCAAUGAUUGCUUUAUUGCUCAUGCGAGACACCGCCGGGGGAGUUUAUGGGUGUUGUCACUGGGACGAUAUGGAGAAUGGAGGCAUCCAGAACAUGACCUAGUGGAUAGACUGGAGGAGCAAUCAGACACGCCCAUGGCAUUUGGACGUAGACGAUGGUAGCUCGGCAGCGCUGUGGCCUGCUGCUGCUGGGUGAGUUCGUGUCCUAGCGAUGUGUGUAUGUGCUAAUGGUGUGAGUUCGUGUUGUAUAUCUGUGCACACGAACAGGAAAUGUUUCAGAUCUUGUAGCCUGCUCAUGUGCACUACAAGUGUUUGUGUUUAUGCCCCAAGGAAGAAAACAUGUUAUUUUUAACCGAGAACAUAAUUUAAAAUACAAACUUGGGCAACCAAGCUAUCUAUGUUUUUCUAUCACAAAAUAAAUCACGCCAAAGCAGAUUCAAAACUUCAUAUAUGGAUUACAAAAUAUUUUGCAUGGGGUUCCAGUUUGCUUGUUUGUUGAUUCAAAACUUCAUGAAGUUCGAUGUCUAUAAAAAAGGAUUUUGAGCAAAGAAUGAUUUCCCCUAUUCAAAAAAAUAUAGAAGUUCAGAUUAAAAUAACAGUGUAGUUUAACAUUAAAAAAACUAGAAUUUCGCUUUCAAAAAAAUCAAAUCCUAGAAGUUCAAUUUAGAAAAAAUGAUCAUUUGAUUUUCAUCGUUUCAAAAAAACCCCAAGAGGUUUAGUUUAAGGAACCUAAGAAGUGCGAACUUAAAAACUCAAAAUUUCCUUGGAGCUAAACAAAUAAAAAAUGAGAACUUCAAAAUAAAAAAACAGAGUAGUUCGAUGUAUACGGAAAAAUCAAAUUAUUUUUGUUUCGAGGAAAAAUAGAAGUAUGAAAGUUCAAUUUUAAAAAAAUUGUUUAAUGCUUAUUUGAAAACAUAUUUUUUCUAAGAAUAAGACUAAGAAGUUCAAAUUAAAAAAACAGAGAAGUUCGACAUAUAUAAAAAGCUCAGAUUUUUUCUUGUUACUAAAGAAAUAAAAUGAAGAACAUCAAAUUAAAAUAAAUGGAACAACUAAAAAAAGUUUACAAAGUGUUGAUGUUUAUUAAAAAAUCUAGGAUUUUCACAAAUAUCCGUUUUUGUUAAAUUAUCAACGAUGAAGUUCAAAUUGAGAAGUUAGUCAAAUUUGAUGUUUAUUUAAAAACCAAAAACAAUUCUUUAGUCAAAAUAUAGAAAGGUGAAAUUCAAAUUGAAAUAACAGGGAAGUUCGGAGUUUAUUAAAACCUAGGAUUUACCUGUUCCGAAAAUAAAAAACACAACGCCAUUUUUUGCACUUUUAGAAACAACUCAUAAACGGAAAAAAUGGUUGCUAAAAGUUCAAGUGCUCGGCGAGCAAAAGUUCAAAAAAUUCUUGUGAGAGAGGUUCCCCGUGUAUUUAGAUGUCCGAAAUACAUCAAAAAAUAUGUUGUCUUUUGUGUUUUAAAAUAAUUCUCUCAAACUAGAGAAAAUUUCAAAGUGAUAACAACUGGAAGUUCACGUACUACAUGGUGUGUGUUUCAUAUAAGAAAAAUACAAUAAAGUGGAACAGAGUGAAGUUCAAACAGACAUGCUCUAGAAGUUCAACUCCUUCACGCAGUGCAAAAAACAGCACGUCAAAAACAGAGUGAAGCUCAAACAGACAUGCCCGAGAAGUUCAACUACUUCACGCAGUGCAUUUCCAUUCGCGAUGAAGGCAGAAAUCAUGAUUUCCUCAUUUUCUAAUUUAUUUCAAAAUGGCAGGAAGUGAAAGUUCAAGUCCUCGGUCAAAUAAAGUUAAAAAAAUAUUGUGAGAUAGGUUUGUACAAAAAGAAUAUCAUUUGUGUAACACUAACGAAUGGAUGAGAAAAUUACAAACGAAAAUACGUCACAGAAGAUCAACAUGAAAACAGCAGGAAGUUCAACUACUAUGCUGAAUGAAUUUCAGACGAAAAACUUUUAAAAUCAUCGCGAGUAUGAAAAAAUGAUCAACACGGGAAAAUUGCGUGUUUACAGUAGCUUUCCAUCGGUAUAUCAGUUGCUCAAUUAUGGUGAGUGGAUGGAGAGCUACCAGCAGUGGAUGGAGAGCUACGAGCAAAAAAAGCACGUGAAAAACAGAGUGAAGUUCAGGUAGACAUGCCGAGAAGUUCAAGUUCUUCACGCGGUGCAUUUUCAGAGAAUCUGUUUCAUGACAAAGGCAGAACGAAUGAUCUCACUUGUUUUCGAAAUUACUUGAAAACGACUAGGAUUCAGAGAAAACCAUCAACAUGAAAAAGUUUUGCAUUUUCCGUACCUUUUUAGCGGUAUAUUAUUUGCCCCUUUCCGAUAAAUGUUGUAAAAAUUACAACAAAAACACGUUUUUAGCCAUUUUCAAAACUGACAUAAAAUUGUAGAUAAUUGGGAGAAAAAAUAUAUACACGAAAGUUUCGCAUUUGUUCAGGCUUUCCAACGGCGUAUCAUUUGCUGCAUUCGGACUUACGGUUAAAAAAUUAGCUCGAAAAUACGAACUCGGUGAAAUUUGUACUAUUUUCUAAAUUACUUUUAAACCGUUCGAAAUUACAAAAAACUUUCAACAUGGAAAAGUAGCGCAUUUUCAUAAUCUUUCUAACGCCAUAUCAUUUGCCUCAAUUGGAUUAGCCGUUUCGAAAUGACAUCGAAAAUACAAACUCGGCUGUUCGGUUUAUGAAAUUUUAUGUUUUCCCAAAUUACUUUUUAACCAUAUGGAAUUAGAGAAAAUUUUCAACAUGUGGAAUGAGCGGUUUUACAGCAGCUUUCCAACGCCAUAUUAUUUGCCUGAUUCCGAUGAAUGGUUUUGAAAUGCGAUCAAAAAUACGAUUCACAUUUUUUGUAUGAAGAACAAACGGUUUUCAAAACUGCUCUUAACCCGCUUACAUUUUGCCAAAAAUUUAACUUGGGUCAUGAUACUGGUGUCCAUAGCUUUCCAAUGGUAUAUCGCAAGCCCCAUUUGGGCAAUGUUGGCGGAAGUUCAACCUAGUACUAGGAGAAGUUCAGGUCGAACAACUCAGUCAGUAAAAUUGCAAAAAACACAAUUUCAUCACAACCCGAGAGCAAAAUCCGCCAACGAGCGAUAUUCCUAUUUAAAACCGGUAUUUAGUUGCUAAAAAACGUUUCUAGAUUACACUAACAUCAUAUAGAACACGUCUAACAAGAAUAAUUCGCGGGGGAAGCCACGGUUGCGAAGAUAGCCCGAAGGUCGGGUUCGUACAGAGGGAAGUUCAGGCGCGUUACUCAGGUGUUGGAAAUAUGCCCCAGAGGCAAUAAUAAAAGAAUUAUUAUUAUAUUUCCUUGUUCAUGAUAAUUGUCUUUAUUCAUGCUAUAAUUGUGUUAUUCGAAAAUCCUAAUACAUGUGUGAAUAACAGACACCAACAUGUCCCUAGUAAGCCUCUAGUUGACUAGCUCGUUGAUCAACAGAUAGUCAUGGUUUCCUGACUAUGGACAUUGGAUGUCAUUGAUAACGAGAUCACAUCAUUAGGAGAAUGAUGUGAUGGACAAGACCCAAUCCUAAACAUAGCACAAGAUCGUAUAGUUCGUUUGCAAAACUGUAAUGCUCGACAAGCAGAAAAAAUUACUUUUCCGGAAUCAUCCCUCAAGACCAUCCCUCAAGAUUAUUUUUCCGGACUCUAACCAUAUAUUUUUCGGCAUAUUAUACAUAUUUUGUUAGUCCAAUCAAAGAUCUGAACCCCCAAUAUCAUAAACCCAGCCGGAAGUAUAUACUUAUUAGCGUCCCUCUUUGGAACCGGUAAUAAUUGAGUUCCUCCAACCAGUUUGAGAUUCGGGCGCGUUUCUUUGGGUCUCGGGUGCCGAUACAUCCGAACUGAGAAAAAUAAUUUAGAAAUUGCAAAAAAAGUGAAAAAAAAUCAUGAUUUCCUUAGAACAGACAUGAUAUUGUGUUACACUCAUGUGAAAAGAUACACGAAUGAAUGACUUUCGUGUACUCUGGGCGACAGAAACCAAAAUCGACACUAUAUAAAAGUUACUAUUUACGCUUUUAUACUCACAAAUUUCUCUUUUGCCCUAAAGUCAUUCUUUCGCGAAACUUUCUAUACGAAUAUAACAAUAUAUCAAGUAUGUUUUCAAAAUGUUCUACAAUUUUGUGACCUUUUUUUGCAAUUUCUAAAUUAUUUUUUCAGUAAUGUGUUUGCCAGUUCUUAGAAUAUCGCUCAUAACAUAAAUUUUUGUGACCCGAUCAUCCUUCGUUCACCCCGUUUUAUGUAUGUUUCCCCUACGUCUACUAGUUUAUAAUUUUUUCCUCCCACAUCUGGUGUUUUUCCACCCGUUUUGAUAACCGGCUCAACAGCCCCAUAAAAUCUUGUUUUUUUGCAAGCAAUCACAUUAAUAAUAACAUGCCAGGUAAAUAACUGACUAACCUAUUAGAAUAUUUAUGCCCUCAUUGCAACGCAUGGGCAAUUAUCUAGUGUGACAAUAAAAAAAGGAGAGAAUAUAAUGUCACGAAAACGUAGUAAGAAGUACCACAAACAAGGGAGAGGAGAAGAUAAUUGAAGGACAAACUACUAGUUGGCACUUUGUACACUAUAAAAUUAUCCAUUUAGUUGCACCUAAAGUAGAUAGUCUUGUACAAUCUAGAAAAUUUGUCAAGGUAUAUCCUAGAUUCAUACACUAUUUUUUUAUCAGUUUCCAGAUAUUUAUAAUGGUAAUAUAUUAAUAUCGAAAUGAUACUCGGUACAUUCAUCAUCCAAACGACACAUAUAGAGAGUUAGUCAAGACAUCAAGGAUGCAUAUGCUAUAGAAACGCAAAAAAAUCUGACAUGAGUAAAAGGGCUUUGUAACGAUAAUAUUGGAUAGUAAAAAAAUAUGUAUCUAAAUAAACAUUGGCAUGUUCUAUCUUUUAUAUCAAAAUAAUUUAUCAAUAUUUUUUUAAUUUAACCACAAGAUGAUUUACGACUAAAUAAAGAAGUUCAAUAUAAAAUAGGUGAUAAUUCUAUGCACCAAACAUAUUGACCAUAUUUGAGCAUAAUAUUUCAAAAGGAUGUUUUAUGCGCUUUUUAGGUUGCUCUUCCUUAUGAGUUUAAUUAUGAUUUUUAUUUGACAAUAGACCCACAAAAUUUAGUAAAGUAUCAAAGGGGAGCAAUUAAGUAAGGGCAAGGGGCAGUGCUGGGUUUAAUAUCAAAACUGGUAAAAUAUUAACAUGUUUAGGAAUUAGGAAUAAUUACAUUAUGUCUUCGUUGGGUCCAAUAAAUAAGGUCAAAAAAAUAAAAAAACAGAGAUAAAUAAUCUUGAGCAGACAUUAGUGGUACGGAAAAUAACAUAUCAUGGUAUACCUUCAGGGUCAACUUCUUCUCAUAUAUUAGAUUGCAACAGAAGUUGCAAAAUCCUCAUUUCCUUUAAAAACAGCAAGAAGUAUACUGUCUAGCUGCAAAAACAACACAACAGAUGAUUUUUUUAUCAAAUAGCAAUAGUCACAUUGUGUUUCUGUUGGGUCCAGUGAAUUAUAAAACACAAACAUCAAUCAUUGCUAUUCAAGACAAGUGAUACAAUAAGGCCAAACUCGUUGGAAACAGUCAAGUAACAAAGAUGGAGGUGGACAGAUAAACACCCUAUCUAGUAGACCGGCACUAGAAAAUCAAUAGCAGUUUUAAUAAUGUUCAUUUACAUUUUCAAUGAAUACUUGAACCAUGCUUUCAAUCUCUUGAGCAGUACUGUCCAACUGACCAUCUAAGAAGCACAAACUGACUACCAACUUAAUAAAUAGACAUAUAAAAUGAACGGUAGCUCAUAAUGUAUAGUCACUUACCAACAGCAAGUUUACUAAGCCCAGGAAGAUCAAUAAGAGUCAGGUUCACAACUGCAAUGAUUAAAAGCGUUACGAUGCGACAAAAAUGAAAAGAACAAACAAUAUAGGAAAAUACAUAACAAGGGACAGAUACAGUAUGGCUAUCCUACCAAUGACAGAAAUAGUCCGUAAUAAACUUAUAAGCUUCUAAGGUAAAUCAGAACACCCUUUGCAAGCAACAUUUUUUGAUAUCUAAUAAUGGAGGUACAUAAGACAGUUUGGUAUUGAGAGAGCAUUAAAGUAACACCAUUAAAAUAGUUGGCAACAUUGCUGUCUGCAUAUCUUACCAUCUGAAGAAAAUAUGCUUAAAUGUAUGGGGACAGCUGAUAUUUGCUUUGAACAACCGGCUAUCUCCGUCUUCACUUCAGCUGCAACGAUAGAGAUGUCACCAUGAGCCGAGUAUCAUCACGAUAAACUAGAAUAAAUGAAUAAAAAAUAGUGCUUGACAGAAUUUCAGGGAAAUAGAUUUGUGGAAUUACCAAAACACGUGUAUUUUUUACUUUGCUCAUCAUGUAAAAACCCAGCAUACUCUCUAAUUCCAUCAAUUUUACGAAGCUGCACUAUCAGGGGAGGCGCGUGACAAUGCCCUUGGGUAGGAAAUCUUUUCCAACAAGGCACUCCAGCACUAAAGAUUUGUCGGCACCCUUCCAUAUAAUCAGAAGUUUCAAAUGUUAGGACAAAUACUAGGUACUCAAAAAACAGACAAAAUUGUGUGGUUCUUUUAGGCAAUCACACCCUCACACUAACCCAAUAUCUCUACGGGGAACUAAACUGAACUAACAGAUUCAAACAAACAAUUAACAACCAGCAUAGCAUUUCAUGCCUCUAGUUGAUCCUAAAUACCAGAUCCAGAUGCAACAAUAGAUCUCUAGGAUCUCUAGGCGCGAGAUUUAGAUGCAACGACAAUUCCCCUAGGCGAGAUCCAAGCAUAUAACCGCGCGUCUCCGGAACUAAACUGUAUUGGUUCUCAGUCAGGAUCACACGAUGACAACGAUGAACGCACACACGCGAGAGAGUCACACGUGAAUACAUAGGAACGGGAGUGUUUUUGCGACGCUCUGAUUCAGUGUCUUUUCUGUUUCUUUCCUUUAUUCGUUUGGAAACAGACUAAGAGCAUCUCUAGCAGACCUGUAUAAUGCCUCGACCCAUAAAAUAACCACCAAAAUACGGGUCCGUGCAGAAAAUGUUGCCCGAUCAGACCCCGCAAACGCGUCGGACCCGUAAAAAGUUUUGAAGGGUGCGGCAUAAUUGUUGGGGAACGUAGUAAUUUCAAAAAAAAUCCUACACACACGCAAGAUCAUGGUGAUGCAUAGCAACGAGAUGGGAGAGUGUUGUCCACAUACCCUCAUAGAUCGAAAGCGGAAGCGUUAGAACAACACGGUUGAUGUAGUCGUACGUCUUCACGAUCAGACCGAUCCAAGUACCAAACGUACAGCACCCCCGAGUUCAGCACACGUUCAGCUCGAUGACGUCCCACGAACUCCGAUCCAGCAGAGCUUCGAGGGAGAGUUCCGUUAGCACGACGGUGUGAUGACGAUGAUGAUGAUGAUGUUACCGACGCAGGGCUUCGCCUAAGCACCACUAUGAUAUGACCGACGUGGAUUAUGGUGGAGGGGGCCACCGCACACGGCUAAAAGAUCAAUGAUCAAUUGUUGUGUCUAUGGGGUGCCCCCCUGCCCCCGUAUAUAAAGGAGCUAGGGGGGAGGCGGCCGACCAGGAGGAGGGCGCGCCAAGGGGGAAGUCCUACUCCCAUCGAGAGUAGGACUCCUCUUUUCCUAGUAGGAGUAGGAGAAGGGAAGGAAGGAAGGGAGAGAGAAAGAGAAGGAAAAAUGGGGGCGCCACCUCCCCUCCUUGUCCAAUUCGGAGUAGAGGGGGAGGGGGCCAGCGGCUGCCCUGGCCGCCCCUCCUCUUCUCCCACUAGGGCCCAUGAGGCCCAAUUAACUCCCCGGGGGUUUUUGAUAACCCCCUGGUACUCCGGUAUAUGCCCGAAACCUCCCGGAACCCUUUCGGUGUCCGAACAUAGUCGUUCAAUAUAUCGAUCUUUACGUCUCGACCAUUUCGAGACUCCUCGUCAUGUCCGUGAUCACAUCCGGGACUCCGAACUACCUUCGGUACAUCAAAACAUAAAAACUUGUAAUAUCGAUCGUCACAGAACUUUAAGCGUGCGGACCCUACGGGUUCGAGAACUAUGUAGACAUGACCGAGACACGUCUCCGGUCAAUAACCAAUAGCGGAACCUGGAUGCUCAUAUUGGUUCCUACAUAUUCUACGAAGAUCUUUAUCAGUCAAACCGCAUAACAACAUACGUUGUUCCCUUUGUCAUCGGUAUGUUGCUUGCCCGAGAUUCGAUCGUCGGUAUCUCAAUACCUAGUUCAAUCUCGUUACCGGCAAGUCUCUUUACUCAUUCCGUAAUGUAUCAUCCCGAAACUAACUCAUUAGUUACAAUGCUUGCAAGGCUUAUAGUGACACUACUAGGGAAAAGGCUAGCAGCAGCGCAGGUUUUAGGUGUAUCAGUAACGCGGGGAGUGGCGCUACUAAUAAGUCACUACAGCUAACACAUAGCAGUAGCGCGUGCUCACCAGCGCUACUGCUACACAAGUGUAGCAGCAACGCGCUUAGUGGAAGCUCGCUACUGCUAGUAGCUCUAGCGCGCUUUGCCUGGAUGCGCUACUACUAUCGCGGCGCUGCUACUAACUUUUAUACACUCGUUACUGCUAAUUUUAGUAGUUUUUUAUUUAUUUUUCGGCAUAUUUGUUUUGUAUUUGAACAGGCUUUAUAGAAGAAUCUUUAGCACAUACAAAUGUCAUCAUGAUACACAUACAAAUGCCUGCGAGACCACAAAUGUAAUCAUAGCAUAUACAUACAAAUAGUCGCAUGAUAAUCAUCAUCCAACACAAAGUGGUAUCUUGUCAUCAUCUCGAAAAUAGCAAUACAUGCAAGUCUCGAAUACUUGCAACUACAACAACAUCAUCCAUCUAAAUAAAGGUAUACGCGAGAAGAGCUAUUACUAUGAGUGAGAGCGGAACUAUGCAGUACAUGAGGUGGCGGUUACGAGUCCUCUCUCACGCUAGCAUGAACCUCAAGUAACUAGCUUCUCCUUCUUGUCUGCUUUUGAAGCCUUUAUGGCUGGCGCCCGUGAACCCAUUCACUUGCGCCUGACACUCAUGCCACUCGUUGUACACCCUCGGAACCUUCCCUUUGUACACGACAUAGCAAUUCCAUCUCGCCAUCAAGAAACUAGGUACCUGUUAGAGAUGCAUGUUCAUGAAGAGGAUGUACAAUCAUAUAUAUGCAACAAAAUAUACUAGAGCAACACCGAAAAAUAAAGGGUUAGCAACUAGAUGCAACAUACAAUACGUAAAUUAAUGAACUAGAGGUACGCAGGUCAUCGUACGCAAACUAACAAAGUAGCGUUACGCAAGUUUGGCAGGGACCAUGGACAUCACAAAGUUUCAUCGCUACAAAAAGUAUACAAGUUCAACCGACACAUAUCAUCAUCAUCGGCAUCAUAAAUCACUAGAAGUUCCAUCCUUCCAUAUCAUCGAGGAUGGACCCUAGAUUCUUGGCCGGCGUGAGAUCUAGACGUUGCAUGCCUAUGCGAGUUCGGACGUCAGCUCGCAAUAUAGGGCCGUGGUGGAACAUCCCCUUCUCAUCGAAGACUUCUUUCAUGAUGAUCAUCGCAAUGUCGCUUUGGAUGCGAAAUAAGUCAUCUCUAAGUUUAUAAUCCGCUUCUCCAUGAGAUUCUAGCCACUUGUGGAUAUGAUCAUCAUUUCUGCUUCUCAUGUGAAGCUUUUGGUGAUCCGUGUUGAACUGAAUCAUGAGAUGGACGAUGUAGAAUCCAUCCUUCUUGCUUGGUUUUGGGACAUGGAUGCAGGAGAAGUUAGUUUUAUGCGCGAAACCCAUCUUCUUGUUCCUUUGUUUCCUGAUCUGCACGUGGCCACCUCUAAAGCUGAAGCCUUGGAGAGCAUCAUCUAGAAUAUUCAUUAUGUGGGUGUAGUCUUUUUUCUUGUAGUCUCUGGAAGGGUCAAAAUACACGGCGUGGGAGACUUGCGCGUAAAGAACGAUAUGGACGGCGCGCCCGUUGCUGCGGGGAAAGACACCUCAAAUUAUUCCCCAUAUGAGAGAGAAGGAAUGAUUGAAAUGUACGAAAGGGUUGUCCGGAACUGACUUACUUUGGAUGAUAAGGCACGAGGACAAUUUCCCGGUCCUUAUUCUGUACCAUGAAGUUUUGGAGCUACUCCCUAGCAGUUUCACGCUCAAAGUCGCCAAGACUCAAGAAAGACUCGUGCAUGUAGUACGGAUCCGCCACACAGAUUUGUGAGACUUCUUCACUCUUCAUGACGGAGCUCAUAUGUAGCGCAAAAAGGCGGACGAUUGUAAAAUCGAGCCGCCUUGUUAGAAACAUCUCAAAGAUAUGGUCAAACCGCAGGAAGAACACCUCCGCGGGCCGUGUCUCGACGUAGCACUUCCCCUCAGGCACACGAGCCGCGUAUGUCGGAUAUCCUGGAUCCUUUGAGGCUAGUAGGCUUUUCUCAGUCGACAACACAUGGUCGUGCAGUCUCCUGAGAUCCCCUGAUAGUGCCUCCAGCGGUUUCGGCGGUAGCAUCGGCUCGCGCGUGAGAUGGAACAUGACCGCACCUUUCACGGGUACACGCUCUUCAGAAUGCAUCGUCUGGCUGCUAUGUGCUCUGGCUUGUUUGGAGGCAGCUAUCUUCCCCGAUCUCUUCCUCUCCUUUUUCUUGGGCACACCUUCCAGACCCUUCCUUAACCCCUGCCCCAAUGUUCCCGGGCUAAGUACUGUACGACCCUCGCGCCCGGCUAGUUGAGCCUGUGUUGAGGCGGCAUCUUCAGGCGUGUCCUGUGAGGAUUUCACGAAGAGAGACUUUUUGCAAUCCCUGCUACGACCUUCCUGCCUGGGCAUAUCAUCCAUGUCCUCAUUAGCAAGUUGAUAGCCUAAUUCGUCAUAUGGUUGACUCAUCAUAUCUAUGUCACAGUCAUAUGCGUUUGUAUUGAGGAAAUCCAUACGGUCGACCUCCGUCUUAUCAUCCAUUCUCUAUUCUACACGACAAAUUACAUCAGCCAGUACUAUUUCACCCCCUUCAUCAUGUCGUCCGCCGCUCUCACCCGGCACGACAGGAGCUGAUAAUUGCGUAGGCGGGGUGGUGGUCUCCGCACAUGCUUGUUGAUGUGUGGUUAUUGGUGUGCUCUCAGCCGGCUCCAAACGAAUAAGAUUCUUCGGCCAUAGCAGCACCCAACCCUUGCAGCUUCCAAUCCGCGGCGGCGUCUCGUCGUCCGCUCCCACAUGCUGUACUGGAGGAGGCAAAUCCUCGUGCCCCGAUUUCACACUAGUCAAGCUAACCCUGAAGUGCCCAGCGGGGAUCGGCUGGUUGUGGAACGUGGGUUGUGAGGGGUCCAUUAUCAUCCCCUUUCACACGUCCACUUUCUGGCCUUUGAUCAAGUAGAGUAUGGUGCACGGGGUUUCUUUCGCCUGCAAACACAUAUGUCUUUGGCUUAAAACAACCGAAAGGCACAAAAAUGGAAUAUUAUAUAUAUAUAUAUAUAUAUAUAUAUAUAUAUAUAUAUAUAUAUAUAUAUAUGUUGGUGCGACAGGUAAUUACCGUGAUGGCGUCGAGCUCAGCCAAAGACGAAGGCCCACCUAGCGCGCCAGAGACUGAGGACGUGCUGCUAUGAGCGGGAGCGGCUGCGAGAGGAGGCCCGGUUGCGUGAGCAAGUGAUGGUGCGAUGGGGUCGUUGUUCAUGGAGUUUCUCCCGACGAAACUGGGCAAGGGGAAAUCAUGUACCGUCUUGUCUGGAUUUUCCUUCGUCCAGUUGAUGAUAACUGGAACCAAGUUAGUAGCAAAAUCAUUUCUGCAGGCAGUUACAGCUGCAUUGACUGCCUGCUGUAGCAACUCACAUUUGUCCUCGGCUGCUUUUUUCACGUCCUCAGCUGCUUUUUUUCUCGACCGCAAGCUUCACCUUCGCGUCGAUGUCCGCCUAACUAAACUUCUUUUUCUGCUUCUUGGCCUCCGGGCCCUCGUUGUAAAACACCUUCCACGUGGCGCCGUCUCCAGCGCCGUGUACACGACCAUAUUGCGGCCGCUGGCCCAAAGGGAGUCCCUUAAGUUCGUUCAAGGCCCGGUUGAGAGGGGUGUCCCACUUGGGCCUCAUCGGAGAAGCAGGGCUUUCGGCUGCAAGCUGGUUUUGCUUCUCCAGUAGUCUAAUCAAUUUCCUCGUGAUCUUGUCCGUGUAAAAAAACCUUUUUCUCCUUGUCCCACUUGUAGCGGGCCCUGAUGAAGUCACGCUCCAAGGGGUUGGUGAACUUCGCGAAGGGGUCUGGGAGACCCGCGGCUUCACGUUCCGCGUCCUCCUUAUCCCAUAUGGGCCUUUUACCGAGGUAGCCACGGCUUCCGAGGCGAUGCUUCCCCGUGUUCCUUUGCUGAAGGCUCUUGAAUUUUGCAGCCUUAGCCUUGGCUGCCUCGGUAGCGCAAGUGUCCUUGAACUUUUCGAACUCCUCUUCCGUAAGUGUCGGAUUUUCCUCUAGAAUCUUGGACAGGGGUUCAUCAGCCUCAAUAGUUUGUUUCACCCUCCCUUUCCAGGAGGCCAAAUCAUUGCUGAACAUGCCCAUGGCGUGAUUGUUAAUCUUUUUCAUCUUCGGAUCAUCCCACGGUUGUUCUAUGUUAUCAUCCCGGUCGGGGAACUUGAAUCUCUUGUGCAACUUCGUUAGGAGCAACUGCGUCAAAUGUUCUUUACUCCUUAAGUCAUCGUCGUUGAUGCUCACGCAUUCCCGUAGGAUGCAUCCUACUUGGUUCCCAUAGCACUUGCGAGGUUCUUCCGGCUCUAACGGCUCAAACUUGCCAGGUGCCAUCUUUGUGAUCACAAGUCGUCCAAUCCCUAGUUUGUUAGGUUUUCGUAUCCUCUGCUUCUUAUGCUUCCUCUUUUCGGUAGCGGCAUCGGGGCCGGUACUUUCACCGCCGGUACCUUCCCCACCGGUCUCGGCGCCGCCAUCGGUGCCGGCGCCGUCGGUGUCGAUGUCGGCGUCAGUACCAUCAUCGAGGCCGACCUGCAAACCUUUCUUAGCAGUCAAAUAAUUGAGGUACUCUUGUUCACCCUCAUAAUCCAUCUCGUCUGCAUAUUGGUCAGAAGGCCCAGUUUCUUCGUUGUUUGACAUGUUUCCUAUGAUUAAGUGUCCUCAUUUAUUUCUAAAAGUAUGAAUAAAUGAGAAAUGACAUAAAAAAAGAAAUCUAUGUGCCAGCACUCGAUAUGCCAACUAUGUAGCACAAAUCAUGCCUUUAUUCACGGGAAAUUUCGGCAUGACCUUUGCUAAAAAAAUGGACAUUUCGAGCGCCUGAAAUUCACCGGAACGGAAAUGAAUCAACAUUCCGGCGUAACAUAGGCCACUCGGAUCAUUUUCCAAACAUGACAUGUCCAAAACAUGACAUAUCCACAUAUCACAUGUCCAGUUCAAAUUUGCAUAUAAAUUCAGCUAAUUUUGAAACCUAGCUAAAUUCAUAACUAAAUAGAUAACCUAACUAAAACCCAUGUAAAUUAACCGAAGAACGCUAGCAAAGAGAGAGGGGGGGUUUCCAGAGGGUGUAGGGGUGAGGAAGCAGGCCCGACGACGGCCGAGGUUGGGAGGGGAGGAAGCAGAGGAGGGAGGCGAGGGCCGACGGGUCGGGGGCGAGCGCACCGGGGUCGGGGGNNNNNNNNNNGCAUUCCCGUAGGAUGCAUCCUACUUGGUUCCCAUAGCACUUGCGAGGUUCUUCCGGCUCUAACGGCUCAAACUUGCCAGGUGCCAUCUUUGUGAUCACAAGUCGUCCAAUCCCUAGUUUGUUAGGUUUUCGUAUCCUCUGCUUCUUAUGCUUCCUCUUUUCGGUAGCGGCAUCGGGGCCGGUACUUUCCCCGCCGGUACCUUCCCCACCGGUCUCGGCGCCGCCAUCGGUGCCGGCGCCGUCGGUGUCGAUGUCGGCGUCAGUACCAUCAUCGAGGCCGACCUGCAAACCUUUCUUAGCAGUCAAAUAGUCGAGGUACUCUUGUUCACCCUCAUAAUCCAUCUCGUCUGCAUCUUGGUCAGAAGGCCCAGUUUCUUCGUUGUUUGACAUGUUUCCUAUGAUUAAGUGUCCUCAUUUAUUUCUAAAAGUAUGAAUAAAUGAGAAAUGACAUAAAAAAAGAAAUCUAUGUGCCAGCACUCGAUAUGCCAACUAUGUAGCACAAAUCAUGCCUUUAUUCACGGGAAAUUUCGGCAUGACCUUUGCUAAAAAAAUGGACAUUUCGAGCGCCUGAAAUUCACCGGAACGGAAAUGAAUCAACAUUCCGGCGUAACAUAGGCCACUCGGAUCAUUUUCCAAACAUGACAUGUCCAAAACAUGACAUAUCCACAUAUCACAUGUCCAGUUCAAAUUUGCAUAUAAAUUCAGCUAAUUUUGAAACCUAGCUAAAUUCAUAACUAAAUAGAUAACCUAACUAAAACCCAAGUAAAUUAACCGAAGAACGCUAGCAAAGAGAGAGGAGGGGUUUAUAGAGGGUGUAGGGGCGAGGAGGCAGGCCCGACGACAGCCGAGGUUGGGAGGGGAGGAAGCAGAGGAAGGAGGCGAGGGCCGACGGGUCGGGGGCGAGCGCACCGGGGUCGGGGGCGAGCGCCUGGGUCUGGGGCGAGUGCCGGCACCGGGGUCGGGGGCGAGGGCCGAGUCGGGGCCAGCGCCGGGNNNNNNNNNNNCGGGGGCGAGGGCCGAGUCGGGGCGAGCGCCGGGGUCGGGGGCGAGGGCCGGGUCGGGGGCGAGCGCCGGCGCUGGGGUCGGGGGCAAGCGCCGGGGCCAGGUCGGGCGCGGCGGUGCGACGGGGGAAGAGAGAGUGGGGAUUUUGGGGGAAAUGGCGGGAUGAAGCAGGAAGAGUGAGAAUUUUGGGUUAAGUGGACGUAGCAGUAGCGCGUUUGGACAAAGCACGCUGCUACUACCUUCAGUAGCUGUAGCAGUUUAUAUGACAUGCGCUACUACUACCUUCAGUAGUUGUAGCGGUUUAGACAAAACGCGCUGCUACUACCUUCGCUACUGCCAGUUUUCCUUUUCCUUUUCCUUUAUUUUCUCCCACUUUUAUUUCCCGAGAGCAGUGAACGAAGGGAGGGCGAUAUAUAUUGCAUCAUUUGACGGUUAAAUAUGUAUGCAAAAUAGGAAUAUAUAUAUUACAUCAUUGGACCCAUGCAUAAUAAUGACUAAGUAUGUAUACAAAAUAGGAACAUAUAUAUAUAGGACAACACUAUUCUAAUCCCGGGAUUAGAAUAGUUAUUUGGAUCACAACGUCCUAGGGAGCCGCGAAGAUGAUCCCGAACCAGAGCGAGCGAACCGAAGAAGCCCACUGUGAGCGCGAGGAAAAAAAGCCCACCCUGGACCCCUCGUGGCCUCGUCACACACCUCUCGAUCCCCACCCGAGCCACCUCCCGACCGCCGCCGCCGCCCACCGCCUACCUGGCGUUGCCUCGCGGGCCGGGAUCCAGCCACCGACGAGCGGAUCCUUGCUAGCUUGCCGCCGCCACACGCAAGCACCUCACCCCCGAGCCGCCUCCCCACUUUCCCACACGUGGCCGCCGUCCUCCAUUGUUGCUUCACCGACGGCCGGCUGCGCCAGGCCAGCGCCGUCCCCAAUGGCGCAGCGGCCAAGCACCUCCAUUGAACGUGCCGGCGGCUCAGGCCACCCGACACGGCCCCUCCCUCAAACGCACUGCCCCAACCUUCUCUAACGGAGCCGACGGCGACCACCGGAGCUUUCCUGAGGCGUGCCGCAUGCUCCUACUAGCCGGGGCUGGGCGCACCUCGUCUGGAAAGAAGAAACUUCACCGAGCAUGUGAAGUUCGGCCGGUGAACCUGUGCAGUCCGACGGUGCUUGCAUGCUUGUAUCCGGUAGCAUACAUUGCGGAUGUAUCAAAAGGCAAGCACCGAUCUCUUUCGUUACUAAACAAUAGUGUGUGCUAUUUGAUGAAAUGGAUUCACAAUGAAGUGGGCAAAAUUUCUCGUGUUUAAGUUGAGUCAUUGUGGCCUUAAUCAUCUUGUGCGAGUAGAAAAAAUUUGGUUGCUUCACAUGUACCUGUGCGGCUCUGUUGGUGGUUUUCUGCCUGAGGUUGAAGUUGGCAGCCAACCUGGACUACCAGCCCACGCGCGGAUUAGGCGCUGCCUGCAGCUGAAGGAGAGGUAGGCCUACAGUUGGAGGAGGCCCUGGCCUUCAGCUGGCAAUUUAGAGGAACUUGCCACUAUGAAAAUCUGAAAAUCUAACUUGACACCAUACUUGUUUUUGUUAUUCAGAAGUUCAGGUAGCUAGCUUGCUCACUAUGAAAACCUUCUCUGUAUGUGCUAAUUAGUACGUACUACUAAGCAAAAAUAAUCUUGUGAAGUGGAUGACGCUGGCCAUGGGAGAUUUUGAUGGCACUAUAGUGAUGACAACCUCCAGCAGUUCGCAUAUACCCCAGGCCGCAGCCCAGCUUCUCCGUCAUUAGCGUGACAUGCAACACCACACCACUACAGACACUUCCCUGAAUUUACCAAUGAUUGCUUUAUUGCUCAUGCGAGACACCGCCGGGGGAGUUUAUGGGUGUUGUCACUGGGACGAUAUGGAGAAUGGAGGCAUCCAGAACAUGACCUAGUGGAUAGACUGGAGGAGCAAUCAGACACGCCCAUGGCGUCUGGACGUAGACGAUGGUAGCUCGGCAGUGCUGUGGCCUGCUGCUGCUGGGUGAGUUCGUGUCCUAGCGAUGUGUGUAUGUGCUGAUGGUGUGAGUUCGUGUUGUAUAUCUGUGCACACGAACAGGAAAUGUUUCAGAUCUUGUAGCCUGCUCAUGUGCACUACAAGUGUUUGUGUUUAUGCCCCAAGGAAGAAAACAUGUUAUUUUUAACCGAGAACAUAAUUUAAAACACAAACUUGGGCAACCAAGCUAUCUAUGUUUUUCUAUCACAAAAUAAAUCACGCCAAAGCAGAUUCAAAACUUCAUAUAUGAAUUACAAAAUAUUUUGCAUGGGGUUCCAGUUUGUUUGUUUGUUGAUUCAAAACUUCAUGAAGUUCGAUGUCUAUAAAAAAGGAUUUUGAGCAAAGAAUGAUUCCCCCUAUUCAAAAAAAUAUAGAAGUUCAGAUUAAAAUAACAGUGUAGUUUAACGUUAAAAAAACCAGAAUUUUGCUUUAAAAAAAAUCAAAUCCUAGAAGUUCAAUUUAGAAAAAAUGAUCAUUUGAUUUUCAUCGUUUCAAAAAGACCCCAAGAGGUUUAGUUUAAGGAACCUAAGAAGUGCGAACUUAAAAACUCAAAAUUUCCUUGGAGCUAAACAAAUAAAAAAUGAGAACUUCAAAAUAAAAAAACAGAGUAGUUCGAUGUAUACGAAAAAUCAAAUUAUUUUUGUUUCGAGGAAAAAUAGAAGUAUGAAAGUUCAAUUUUAAAUAAAUUGUUUAAUGCUUAUUUGAAAACAUAUUUUUUCUAAGAAUAAGACUAAGAAGUUCAAAUUAAAAAAAACAGAGAAGUUCGACAUAUAUAAAAAGCUCAGAUUUUUUCUUGUUACUAAAGAAAUAAAAUGAAGAACAUCAAAUUAAAAUAAAUGGAACAACUAAAAAAAGUUUACAAAGUGUUGAUGUUUAUUAAAAAAUCUAGGAUUUUCACAAAUAUCCGUUUUUGUUAAAUUAUCAACGAUGAAGUUCAAAUUGAGAAGUUAGUCAAAUUUGAUGUUUAUUGAAAAACCAAAAACAAUUCUUUAGUCAAAAUAUAGAAAGGUGAAAUUCAAAUUGAAAUAACAGGGAAGUUCGGAGUUUAUUAAAACCUAGGAUUUACCUGUUCCGAAAAUAAAAAACACAACGCCAUUUUUUGCACUUUUAAAAACAACUCAUAAAUGGAAAAAAUGGUUGCUAAAAGUUCAAGUGCUCGGCGAGCAAAAGUUCAAAAAAUUCUUGUGAGAGAGGUUCCCCGUGUAUUUAGAUGUCCGAAAUACAUCAAAAAAUAUGUUGUCUUUUGUGUUUUAAAAUAAUUCUCUCAAACUAGAGAAAAUUUCAAAGUGAUAACAACUGGAAGUUCACGUACUACAUGGUGUGUGUUUCAUAUAAGAAAAAUACAAUAAAGUGGAACAGAGUGAAGUUCAAACAGACAUGCUCUAGAAGUUCAACUCCUUCACGCAGUGCAAAAAACAGCACGUCAAAAACAGAGUGAAGCUCAAACAGACAUGCCCGAGAAGUUCAACUACUUCACGCAGUGCAUUUCCAUUCGCGAUGAAGGCAGAAAUCAUGAUUUCCUCAUUUUCUAAUUUAUUUCAAAAUGGCAGGAAGUGAAAGUUCAAGUCCUCGGUAAAAUAAAGUUAAAAAAAUAUUGUGAGAUAGGUUUGUACAAAAAGAAUAUCAUUUGUGUAACACUAACGAAUGGAUGAGAAAAUUACAAAUGAAAAUACGUCACAGAAGAUCAACAUGAAAACAGCAGGAAGUUCAACUACUAUGCUGAAUGAAUUUCAGACGAAAAACUUUUAAAAUCAUCGCGAGUAUGAAAAAAUGAUCAACACGGGAAAAUUGCGUGUUUACAGUAGCUUUCCAUUGGUAUAUCAGUUGCUCAAUUAUGGUGAGUGGAUGGAGAGCUACGAGCAGUGGAUGGAGAGCUACGAGCAAAAAAAGCAUGUGAAAAACAGAGUGAAGUUCAGGUAGACAUGCCGAGAAGUUCAAGUUCUUCACGCGGUGCAUUUUCAGAGAAUCUGUUUCACGACAAAGGCAGAACGAAUGAUCUCACUUGUUUUCGAAAUUACUUGAAAACGACUAGGAAUCAGAGAAAACCAUCAACAUGAAAAAGUUUUGCAUUUUCGGUAGCUUUUUAGCGGUAUAUUAUUUGCCCAUUCCGAUAAAUGUUGUAAAAAUUACAACAAAACACAUUUUUAGCCAUUUUCAAAACUGACAUAAAAUUGUAGAUAAUUGGGAGAAAAAAUAUAUACACGAAAGUUUCGCAUUUGUUCAGGCUUUCCAACGGCGUAUCAUUUGCUGCAUUCGGACUUACGGUUAAAAAAUUAGCUCGAAAAUACAAACUCGGUGAAAUUUGUACUAUUUUCUAAAUUACUUUUAAACCGUUCGAAAUUACAAAAAACUUUCAACAUGGAAAAGUAGCUCAUUUUCAUAAUCUUUCUAACGCCAUAUCAUUUGCCUCAAUUGGAUUAGCCGUUUCGAAAUGACAUCGAAAAUACAAACUCGGCUGUUCGGUUUAUGAAAUUUUACGUUUUCCCAAAUUACUUUUUAACCAUAUGGAAUUAGAGAAAAUUUUCAACAUGUGGAAUGAGCGGUUUUACAGCAGCUUUCCAACGCCAUAUUAUUUGCCUGCUUCCGAUGAAUGGUCUUGAAAUGCGAUCGAAAAUACGAUUCACAUUUUUUGUAUGAAGAACAAACGGUUUUCAAAACUGCUCUUAAACCGCUUACAUUUUGCCAAAAAUUUAACUUGGUUCAUGAUACUGGUGUCCAUAGCUUUCCAAUGGUAUAUCGCAAGCCCCAUUUGGGCAAUGUUGGCGGAAGUUCAACCUAGUACUGGGAGAAGUUCAGGUCGAACAACUCAGUCAGUAAAAUUGCAAAAAACACAAUUUCAUCACAACCCGAGAGCAAAAUCCGCCAACGAGCGAUAUUCCUAUUUAAAACCGGUAUUUAGUUGCUAAAAAACGUUUCUAGAUUACACUAACAUCAUAUAGAACACGUCUAACAAGAAUAAUUCGCGGGGGAAGCCACGGUUGCGAAGAUAGCCCGAAGGUCGGGUUCGUACAGAGGGAAGUUCAGGCGCGUUACUCAGGUGUUGGAAAUAUGCCCUAGAGGCAAUAAUAAAAGCAUUAUUAUUAUAUUUCCUUGUUCAUGAUAAUUGUCUUUAUUCAUGCUAUAAUUGUGUUAUUCGGAAAUCGUAAUACAUGUGUGAAUAACAGACACCAACAUGUCCCUAGUAAGCCUCUAGUUGACUAGCUCGUUGAUCAACAGAUAGUCAUGGUUUCCUGACUAUGGACAUUGGAUAUCAUUGAUGACAAGAUCACAUCAUUAGGAGAAUGAUGUGAUGGACAAGACCCAAUCCUAAACAUAGCACAAGAUCGUAUAGUUCGUUUGCUAGAGUUUUCCAAUGUCAAGUAUCUUUUCCUUAGACCAUGAGAUCGUGUAACUCCCGGAUACCGUAGGACUGCUUUGGGUAUACCAAACGUCACAACGUAACUGGGUGACUAUAAAGGUAGACUACGGGUAUCUCCGAAAGUGUUUGUUGGGUUGACACGGAUCAAGACUGGGAUUUGUCACUCCGUAUGACGGAGAGGUAUCACUGGGCCCACUCGGUAAUGCAUCAUCAUUAUGAGCUCAAAGUGACCAAGUGUCUGGUCACGGGAUCAUGCAUUACGAUACGAGUAAAGUGACUUGCCGGUAACGAGAUUGAACGAGGUAUUGGGAUACCGACGAUCGAAUCUCGGACAAGUAACAUAUCGAUUAACAAAGGGAAUUGUAUACGGGGUUGCUUGAAUCCUUGACAUCGUGGUUCAUCCGAUGAGAUCAUCGAGGAGCAUGUGGGAGCCAACAUGGGUAUCCAGAUCCCGCUGUUGGUUAUUGGCCGGAGAACUGUCUCGGUCAUGUCUACGUGUCUCCCGAACCCGUAGGGUCUACACACUUAAGGUUCGGUGACGCUAGGGUUGUAGGGAUAUGUAUAUGCAGUAACCCGAAUAGUUGUUCGGAGUCACGGAUGAGAUCCCGGACGUCACGAGGAGUUUCGAAAUGGUUCGUAGGUAAAGAAUUAUAUAUAUGAAGUGCUAUUUCGGCCAUCGGGACAAGUUUCGGGGUCACCGGUAUUGUACCGGGACCACCGGAAGGGUCCCGGAGGUCCACCGGGUGGGGCCACCUAUCCCGGAGGGCCCCAUGGGCUGAGGUGGGAAGGGACCCAGCCCAAAGUGGGCUGGGGUGCCACUCCCCUAAGGGCCCAUGCGCCUAGGGUUGGGGGAAACCCUAAAGGGGGCGCCCCCUUGCUUGGGGGGCAAGCCCCCCACCCUUGGCCGCCGCCCCCCUAGGAGAUUGGAUCUCCUAGGGCCGGCGCCCCCUCUAGGCCCCCUAUAUAUAGUGGGGUGGAUGGAGGACUUCUCACCUUUGCCUUUGGUGCCUCCCUCUCCCUCUCCAACACCUCCUCCUCCUCCAUAGAGCUUGGCGAAGCCCUGCCGGAGUACUGCAGCUUCAUCACCACCACGCCGUCGUGCUGCUGCUGGAGCCAUCUUCCUCAACCUCUCCUUUCCCCUUGCUGGAUCAAGAAGAAGGAGACGUUACACUGACCGUACGUGUGUUGAACGCGAAGGUGCCGUCCGUUCGGCGCUAGGAUCUCCGGUGAUUUGGAUCACGUCGUGUACGACUUCCUCAUCCCCGUUCUUUGAACGCUUCCGCGCGUGAUCUACAGAGUUAUGUAGAUGCAAUCCAAUCACUCGUUGCUAGAUGAACUCAUAGAUGGAUCUUGGUGAAACCGUAGGAAAAUUUUUGUUUUCUGCAACGUUCACCAACAGUGGCAUCAUGAGCUAGGUCUAUGCGUAGUUCUCUUGCACGAGUAGAACACAAUUUGUUGUGGGCGUAGACGUUGUCAACUUUCUUGCCGCUACUAGUCUUAUCUUGCUUCAGCGGUAUUGUGGGAUGAAGCGGCCCGGACCAACCUUACACGUACGCUUAUGUGAGACCGGUUCCACCGACUGACAUGCACUAGUUGCAUAAGGUGGCUGGCGGGUGUCUGUCUCUCCCACUUUAGUUGGAGCGGAUUCGAUGAAAAGGGUCCUUAUGAAGGGUAAAUAGAAGUUGACAAAUCACGUUGUGGCUUUCACGUAGGUAAGAAAACGUUCUGGCUAGAACCCUACUUCAGGCACGUAAAACUUGCAACAACAAUUAGAGGACGUCUAACUUGUUUUUGCAGCAAGUGUUUUGUGAUGUGAUAUGGCCAAAGUUGUGAUGAAUGAUGAAUGAUAUAUAUGUGAUGUAUGAGAUGUUCAUGCUAUUGUAAUAGGAAUCACGACUUGCAUGUCGAUGAGUAUGACAACCGGCAGGAGCCAUAAGAGUUGUCUUUAUUUUUUAUAUGGCCUGCGUGUCAUUGAGAAACGCCAUGUAAAUUACUUUACUUUAUUGCUAAACGCGUUAGCCAUAGUAGUAGAAGUAAUAGUUGGCGAGCAACUUCAUGGAGACACGAUGAUGGAGAUCAUGAUGAUGGAGAUCAUGGUGUCAAGCCAGUGACAAGAUGAUCAUGGAGCCACAAGAUGGAGAUCAAAGGAGCUAUGUGAUAUUGGCCAUAUCAUGUCACUAUUAUUAUUUGAUUGCAUGUGAUGUUUAUCAUGUUUUGCAUCUUGUUUACUUAGAACGACGGUAGUAAAUAAGAUGAUCCCUCAUAAUAAUUUCAAGAAAGUGUUCCCCCUAACUGUGCACCGUUGCGACAGUUCAUUGUUUCGAAGCACCACGUGAUGAUCGGGUGUGAUAGAUUCUAACGUUCACAUACAACGGGUGUAAGACAGAUUUACACAUGCAAACACUUAGGUUGACUUGACGAGCCUAGCAUGUAUAGACAUGGCCUCGGAACACAGAAGACCGAAAGGUCGAGCAUGAGUCGUAUAGAAGAUACGAUCAACAUGAAGAUGUUCACCGAUGUUGACUAGUCCAUCUCACGUGAUGAUCGGACACGGCCUAGUUGACUCGGAUCAUGUUAUACUUAGAUGACUAGAAGAGGGAUGUCUAUCUAAGUGGGAGUUCAUUGAAUAAUUUGAUUAGAUGAACUUAAUUAUCAUGAACUUAGUCUAAAAUAUUUACAAUAUGUCUUGUAGAUCAAAUGGCCAACGUUGUCCUCAACUUCAACGCGUUCCUAGAGAAAACCAAGCUGAAAGACGAUGGUAGCAACUAUACGGACUGGGUCCGGAACCUGAGGAUCAUCCUCAUAGCUGCCAAGAAAGAAUAUGUCCUACUAGCACCGCUAGGUGACCCACCCGUUCCACAGAACCAAGACAUUAUGAACGCUUGGCAGACACGUGCUGAUGACUACUCCCUCGUUCAGUGCGGCAUGCUUUACAGCUUAGAGUCGGGGCUCCAAAAGCGUUUUGAGAGACAUGGAGCAUAUGAGAUGUUCAAAGAGCUGAAAAUGGUUUUUCAAGCUCAUGCCCGGGUCGAGAGAUAUGAAGUCUCCGACAAAUUCUUCAGCUGUAAGAUGGAGGAAAAUAGUUCUGUCAGUGAGCACAUACUCACUAUGUCUGGGUUACAUAACCGCUUGACUCAGCUGGGAGUUAAUCUCCCGGAUGACGCGGUCAUUGACAGAAUCCUCCAGUCGCUUCCACCAAGCUACAAGAGCUUCGUGAUGAACUUCAAUAUGCAGGGGAUGGAAAAGACCAUUCCUGAAGUAUUUGCAAUGCUGAAAUCAGCAGAGGUAGAAGUCAAAAAGGAACAUCAAGUGUUGAUGGUGAAUAAAACCACUAAGUUCAAGAAGGGCAAGGGUAAGAAGAACUUCAAGAAGGAUGGCAAGGGAGUUGCCGUGCCCGGUAAGCAAGCUACCAGGAAGAAGCCAAAGAAUGGACCCAAGCCCGAGACUGAGUGCUUUUAUUGCAAGGGAAGUGGUCACUGGAAGCGGAACUGCCCCAAAUACUUAGCGGACAAAAAGGCCGGCAAAACGAAAGGUAUAUGUGAUAUACAUGUAAUUUAUGUGUACCUUACCAGUACUCGUAGUAGCUCUUGGGUAUUUGAUACCGGUGCAGUUGCUCACAUUUGUAACUCAAAGCAGGAGCUGUGGAAUAAGCGGAGACUGGCGAAGGACGAGGUGACGAUGCGCAUCGGGAAUGGUUCCAAGGUCGAAUGUGAUCGCCGUCGGCACGCUGCCUCUUCAUUUACCUACGGGAUUAGUUUUAAACCUCAAUAAUUGUUAUUUAGUGCCAGCUUUGAGCAUGAACAUUGUAUCGGGAUCUCGUUUAAUUCGAGAUGGCUACUCAUUUAAAUCCGAGAAUAAUGGUUAUUCUAUUUAUAUGAGAGAUAUGUUUUAUGGUCAUGCUCCGAUGGUGAAUGGUUUAUUCUUAAUGAAUCUCGAGCGUAAUGCUACACAUGUUCAUAGUGUGAAUACCAAAAGAUGUAAGGUUGAUAGUCCCACAUACUUGUGGCACUGCCGCCUUGGUCACAUAGGUGUCAAACACAUGAAGAAGCUCCAUACAGAUGGAGUUUUAGAGUCUCUUGAUUAUGAAUCAUUUGACACGAGCGAACCAUGCCUCAUGGGUAAAAUGACCAAGACUCCGUUCUCAGGAACAAUGGAGCGAGCAACCAACUUAUUGUAAAUCAUACAUACUGGUGUGUGCGGUCCAAUGAGCGUUGAGGCUCGCGGUGGCUAUCGUUAUGUUCUCACCCUCACUGAUGACUUGAGUAGAUAUGGGUAUGUCUACUUAAUGAAACACAAGUCUGAAACUUUUGAAAAGUUCAAGGAAUUUUAGAGUGAGGUUGAGAAUCAACAUGACAGAAAAAUCAAGUUCCUACGAUCAGAUCGUGGAGGAGAAUACUUGAGUCACGAAUUUGGCACACACUUAAGAAAAUGUGGAAUAGUUUCACAACUCACGCCGCCUGGAACACCUCGGCGUAAUGGUGUGUCCGAACAUCGUAAUCGCACUCUAUUAGAUAUGGUGCGAUCUAUGAUGUCUCUUACCGAUUUACCGCUAUCUUUUUGGGGCUAUGCUUUAGAGACUACCGCAUUCAUUUUAAAUAGGGCUCCGUCGAAAUCCGUUGAGACGACACCGUUUGAAUUAUGGUUUGGGAAGAAACCUAAGCUGUCGUUUCUAAAAGUUUGGGGAUGCGAUGCUUAGGUCAAGAGACUUCAACCUGAAAAGCUCGAACCCAAGUCGGAAAAAUGCGUCUUCAUAGGAUACCCUAAAGAAACCAUUGGGUAUACCUUCUACCUCAGAUCCGAAGGCAAGAUCUUUGUUGCCAAGAAUGGAUCCUUUCUAGAGAAGGAGUUUCUCUCGAAAGAAGUAAGUAGGAGGAAAGUAGAACUUGAUGAAGUAUUACCUCUUGAACCGAAAAAUGGCGCAACUCAAGAAAAUGUUCCUGAGAUGCCUACACCGAGUAGAGAGGAAGUUAAUGAUGAUGAUCAAGAUACUUCUGAUCAAGCUCCUACUAAAAUUUGAAGGUCCACAAGGACACGUUCCGCACCAGAGUGGUACGGCAACCCUGUCUUGGAAAUCAUGUUGUUAGACAACGGUGAACCUUCGAACUAUGAAGAAGCGAUGGCGGGCCCGGAUUCCGACAAAUGGCUGGAAGCCAUGAAAUCCGAGAUAGGAUCCAUGUAUGAAAACGAAGUAUGGACUUUGGCUGACUUGCCCGUUGAGCGGCGAGCCAUAGAAAAUAAAUGGAUCUUUAAGAAGAAGACAGAUGCGGAUGGUAAUGUGACCAUCUAUAAAGCUCGGCUUGUCGCUAAGGGUUAUCGACAAGUUCAAGGGGUUGACUACGAUGAGAUUUUCUCACCGGUAGCGAAGCUAAAGUCCGUCUGAAUCAUGUUAGCAAUUGCUGCAUUCUAUGACUAUGAGAUAUGGCAAAUGGACGUCAAAACGGCAUUCCUUAAUGGUUUCCUUAAGGAAGAAUUGUAUAUGAUGCAGCCGGAAGGUUUUGUCGAUCCUAAGAAUGCUGACAAGGUGUGGAAGCUCCAACGCUCGAUUUAUGGGCUGGUGCAAGCAUCUCGGAGUUGGAACAUUCGCUUUGAUGAGAUGAUCAAAGCGUUUGGGUUUACGCAGACUUAUGGAGAAGCCUGCGUUUACAAGAAAGUGAGUGGGAGCUCUGUAGCAUUUCUCAUAUUAUAUGUAGACGAUAUACUUUUGAUGGGAAAUGAUAUAGAACUCUUGGACAGCAUUAAGGCCUACUUGGAUAAGAGUUUUUCAAUGAAGGACCUUGGAGAAGCUGCUUAUAUAUUAGGCAUCGAAAUCUAUAGAGAUAGAUCGAGACGCCUCAUAGGUCUUUCACAAAGCACAUACCUUGAUAAGAUAUUGAACAAGUUCAAUAUGGAUCAAUCUAAGAAGGGGUUCUUGCCUGUGUUACAAGGUAUGAAAUUGAGCUCAGCUCAAUGUUCGACCACGGCAGAAGAUAUAGAAGAGAUGAGUGUCAUCCCCAAUGCCUCAGCCAUAGGCUCUAUUAUGUAUGCCAUGUUGUGUACCAGACCUGAUGUAAACCUUGCCGUAAGUUUGGUAGGAAGGUACCAAAGUAAUCCCGGCAAGGAACACUGGACAGUGGUCAAGAAUAUCCUGAAGUACCUGAAAAGGACUAAGGAAAUGUUUCUCGUUUAUGAAGGUGACGAAGAGCUCGUCGUAAAGGGUUACGUCGACGCUAGCUUCGACACAGAUCUGGAUGACUCUAAGUCACAAACCGGAUACGUGUAUAUUUUGAAUGGUGGGGCAGUAAGCUAGUGCAGUUGCAAGCAGAGCGUCGUGGCGGGAUCUACAUGUGAAGCGGAGUACAUGGCAGCCUCGGAGGCAGCACAUGAAGCAAUUUGGGUGAAGGAGUAUGCGUCGGGGCCAAUCAAACUCUUCUGUGACAACACUGGAGCUAUUGCACUUGUUAAGGAGCCCAGGUUUCACAAGAAGACAAGGCACAUCAAGCGUCGCUUCAACUCCAUCCGUGAAAAUGUUCAAGAUGGAGACAUAGAUAUUUGUAAAGUACAUACGGACCUGAAUGUAGCAGAUCCGUUGACUAAACCUCUCCCUAGAGCAAAACAUGAACACCAGAAUUCCAUGGGUGUUCGAUUCAUCACGAUGUAACUAGAUUAUUGACUCUAGUGCAAGUGGGAGACUGUUGGAAAUAUGCCCUAGAGGCAAUAAUAAAAGAAUUAUUAUUAUAUUUCCUUGUUCAUGAUAAUUGUCUUUAUUCAUGCUAUAAUUGUGUUAUUCGGAAAUCGUAAUACAUGUGUGAAUAACAGACACCAACAUGUCCCUAGUAAGCCUCUAGUUGACUAGCUCGUUGAUCAACAGAUAGUCAUGGUUUCCUGACUACGGACAUUGGAUGUCAUUGAUAACGAGAUCACAUCAUUAGGAGAAUGAUGUGAUGGACAAGACCCAAUCCUAAACAUAGCACAAGAUCGUAUAGUUCGUUUGCAAAACUGUAAUGCUCGACAAGCAGAAAAAAUUAUUUUUCCGGACUCAUCCCUCAAGACCAUCCCUCAAGAUUAUUUUUCCGGACUCUAACCAUAUAUUUUUCGGCAUAUUAUACAUAUUUUGUUAGUCCAAUCAAAGAUCUGAACCCCCAAUAUCAUAAACCCAACCGGAAGUAUAUACUUAUUAGCGUCCCUCUUUGGAACCGGUAAUAAUUGAGUUCCUCCAACCAGUUUGAGAUUGGGGCGCGUUUCUUUGGGUCUCGGGUGCCGAUACAUCCGAACUGAUAAAAAUAAUUUAGAAAUUGCAAAAAAAGUGAAAAAAUCAUGAUUUCCUUAGAACAGACAUGAUAUUGUGUUACACUCAUGUGAAAAGAUUCACGAAUGAAUGACUUUCGUGUACUCUGGGCGACAGAAACCAAAAUCGACACUAUAUAAAAGUUACUAUUUACGCUUUUAUACUCACAAAUUUCUCUUUUGCCCUAAAGUCAUUCUUUCGCGAAACUUUCUAUACGAAUAUAACAAUAUAUCAAGUAUGUUUUCAAAAUGUUCUACAAUUUUGUGACCUUUUUUUGCAAUUUCUAAAUUAUUUUUUCAGUAAUGUGUUUGCUAGUUCUUAGAAUAUCGCUCAUAACAUAAAUUUUUGUAACCCGAUCAUCCUUCGUUCACCCCGUUUUAUGUAUGUUUCCCCUACGUCUACUAGUUUAUAAUUUUUUCCUCCCACCUAUGGUGUUUUCCACCCAUUUUGAUAACUGGCUCAACAGCCCCAUAAAAUCUUGUUUUUUUGCAAGCAAUCACAUUAAUAAUAACAUGCCAGGUAAAUAACUGACUAACCUAUUAGAAGAUUUAUGCCCUCAUUGCAACGCAUGGGCAAUUAUCUAGUGUGACAAUAAAAAAAGGAGAUGAUACUCGGUACAUUCAUCAUCCAAAGGACACAUAUAGAGAGUUAGUCAAGACAUCAAGGAUGCAUAUGCUAUAGAAACGCAAAAAAAUCUGACAUGGGUAAAAGGGCUUUGUAACGAUAAUAUUGGAUAGUAAAAAAAUGUAUCUAAAUAAACAUUGGCAUGUUCUAUCUUUUAUAUCAAAAUAAUUUAUCAAUAUUUUUUUAAUUUAACCACAAGAUGAUUUACGACUAAAUAAAGAAGUUCAAUAUAAAAUAGGUGAUAAUUCUAUGCACCAAACAUAUUGACCAUAUUUGAGCAUAAUAUUUCAAAAGGAUGUUUUAUGCGCUUUUUAGGUUGCUCUUCCUUAUGAGUUUAAUUAUGACUUUUAUUUGACAAUAGACCCACAAAAUUUAGUAAAGUAUCAAAGGGGAGCAAUUAAGUAAGGGCAAGGGGCAGUGCUGGGUUUAAUAUCAAAACUGGUAAAAUAUUAACAUGUUUAGGAAUUAGGAAUAAUUACAUUAUGUCUUCGUUGGGUCCAAUAAAUAAGGUCAAAAAAUAAACAACCAGAGAUAAAUAAUCUUGAGCAGACAUUAGUGGUACGGAAAAUAACAUAUCAUGGUAUACCUUCAGGGUCAACUUCUUCUAAUAUAUUAGAUUGCAACAGAAGUUGCAAAAUCCUCAUUUCCUUUAAAAACAGCAAGAAGUAUACAGUCUAGCUGCAAAAACAACAAAACAGAUAAUUUUUUUUAUCAAAUAGCAAUAGUCACAUUGUGUUUCUGUUGGGUCCAGUGAAUUAUAAAACACAAACAUCAAUCAUUGCUAUUCAAGACAAGUGAUACAAUAAGGCCAAACUCGUUGGAAACAGUCAAGUAACAAAGAUGGAGGUGGACAGAUAAACACCCUAUCUAGUAGACCGGCACUAGAAAAUCAAUAGCAGUUUUAAUAAUGUUCAUUUACAUUUUCAAUGAAUACUUGAACCAUGCUUUCAAUCUCUUGAGCAGUACUGUCCAACUGACCAUCUAAGAAGCACAAACUGACUACCAACUUAAUAAAUAGACAUAUAAAAUGAACGGUAGCUCAUAAGUUAUAGUCACUUACCAACAGCAAGUUUACUAAGCCCAGGAAGAUCAAUAAGAGUCGGGUUCACAACUGCAAUGAUUAAAAGCGUUACGAUGCGACAAAAAUGAAAAGAACAAACAAUAUAAGAAAAUACAUAACAAGGGACAGAUACAGUAUGGCUAUCCUACCAAUGACAGAAAUAGUCCGUAAUAAACUUAUAAGCUUCUAAGGUAAAUCAGAACACACUUUGCAAGCAACAUUUUUUGAUAUCUAAUAAUGGAGGUACAUAAGACAGUUUGGUAUUGAGAGAGCAUUAAAGUAACACCAUUAAAACAGUUGGCAACAUUGCUGUCUGCAUAUCUUACCAUGUGAAGAAAAUAUGCUUAAAUGUAUGGGGACAGCUGAUAUUUGCUUUGAACAACCGACUAUCUCCGUCUUCACUUCAGCUGCAACGAUAGAGAUGUCACCAUGAGCCGAGUAUCAUCACGAUAAACUAGAAUAAAAUGAAUAAAAAAUAGCGCUUGACAGAAUUUCAGGGAAAUAGAUUUGUGGAAUUACCAAAACACGUGUAUUUUUUACUUUGCUCAUCAUGUAAAAACCCAGCAUACUCUCUAAUUCCAUCAAUUUUACGAAGCUGCACUAUCAGGGGAGGCGCGUGACAAUGCCCUUGGGUAGGAAAUCUUUUCCAACAAGGCACUCCAGCACUAAAGAUUUGUCGGCACCCUGCCAUAUAAUCAGAAGUUUCAAAUGUUAGGACAAAUACUAGGUACUCAAAAAACAGACAAAAUUGUGUGGUUCUUUUAGGCAAUCACACCCUCACACUAACCCAAUAUCUCUAUGGGGAACUAAACUGAACUAACAGAUUCAAACAAACAAUUAACAGCCAGCAUAGCAUUUCAUGCCUCUAGUUGAUCCUAAAUACCAGAUCCAGAUGCAACAAUAGAUCUCUAGGAUCUCUAGGCGCGAGAUUUAGAUGCAACGACAGUUCCCCUAGGCGAGAUCCAAGCAUAUAACCGCGCGUCUCCGGAACUAAACUGUAUUGGUUCUCAGUCAGGAUCACACAACGACAACGAUGAAUGCACACACGCGAGAGAGUCACACGUGAAUACAUAGGAACGGGAGUAUUUUUGCGACGCUCUGAUUCAGCGUCUUUUCUGUUUCUUUCCUUUAUUCGUUUGGAAACAGACUAAGAGCAUCUCUAGCAGACCUGUAUAAUGCCUCGACCCGUAAAAUAACCACCAAAAUACGGGUCCGUGCAGAAAAUGUUGCCCGAUCAGACCCCGCAAACGCGUCGGACCCGUAAAAAGUUUUGCAGGGCGCGGCAUAAUUGUUGGGGAACGUAGUAAUUUCAAAAAAAUCCUACACACACGCAAGAUCAUGGUGAUGCAUAGCAACGAGAUGGGAGGGUGUUGUCCACGUACCCUCGUAGAUCGAAAGCAGAAGCGUUAGAACAACACGGUUGAUGUAGUCGUACGUCUUCACGAUCCGACCGAUCCAAGUACCAAACGUACAGCACCCCCGAGUUCAGCACACGUUCAGCUCGAUGACGUCCCAUGAACUCCGAUCCAGCAGAGCUUCGAGGGAGAGUUCCGUCAGCACGACGGCGUGAUGACGAUGAUGAUGAUGAUGUUACCGACGCAGGGCUUCGCCUAAGCACCGCUAUGAUAUGACCGACGUGGAUUAUGGUGGAGGGGGGCACCGCACACGGCUAAAAGAUCAAUGAUCAAUUGUUGUGUCUAUGGGGUGCCCCCCUGCCCCCGUAUAUAAAGGAGCUAGGGGGGAGGCGGCCGGCCAGGAGGAGGGUGCGCCAAGGGGGGAGUCCUACUCCCAUCAAGAGUAGGACUCCUCUUUUCCUAGUAGGAGUAGGAGAAGGGAAGGAAGGAAGGGAGAGAGAAAGAGAAGGAAAAAUGGGGGCGCCGCCUCCCCUCCUUGUCCAAUUCGGAGUAGAGGGGGAGGGGGCCAGCGGCUGCCCUGGACACCCCUCCUCUUCUCCCACUAGGGCCCAUGAGGCCCAAUUAACUCCCCGGGGGGUUUCGAUAACCCCCCGGUACUCCGGUAUAUGCCCGAAACCUCCCGGAACCCUUUCAGUGUCGGAACAUAGUCGUUCAAUAUAUCGAUCUUUACGUCUCGACCAUUUCGAGACUCCUCGUCAUGUCCGUGAUCACAUCCGGGACUCCGAACUACCUUCGGUACAUCAAAACAUAAAAACUUGUAAUACCGAUCGUCACAGAACUUUAAGCGUGCGGACCCUACGGGUUCGAGAACUAUGUAGACAUGACCGAGACACGUCUCCGGUCAAUAACCAAUAGCGGAACCUGGAUGCUCAUAUUGGUUCCUACAUAUUCUACGAAGAUCUUUAUCGGUCAAACCGCAUAACAACAUACGUUGUUCCCUUUGUCAUCGGUAUGUUGCUUGCCCGAGAUUCGAUCAUCGGUAUCUCAAUACCUAGUUCAAUCUCGUUACCGGCAAGUCUCUUUACUCAUUCCGUAAUGUAUCAUCCCACAACUAACUCAUUAGUUACAAUGCUUGCAAGGCUUAUAGUGACACUACUAGGGAAAAGGCUAGCAGCAGCGCGGGUUUUAGGUGUAUCAGUAGCGCGGGGAGUGGCGCUACUAAUAAGGCACUACAGCUAACACAUAGCAGUAGCGCGUGCUCACCAGCGCUACUGCUACACAAGUGUAGCAGCAAUACGUUUAGUGGAAGCUCGCUACUGCUAGUAGCUCUAGCGCGCUUUGCCUGGAUGCGCUACUACUAUCGCGGCGCUGCUACUAACUUUUAUACACUCGCUACUGCUAAUUUUAGUAGUUUUUUAUUUAUUUUUCGGCAUAUUUGUUUUGUAUUUGAACAGGCUUUAUAGAAGAAUCUUUAGCACAUACAAAUGUCAUCAUGAUACACAUACAAAUGCCUGCGAGACCACAAAUGUAAUCAUAGCAUAUACAUACAAAUAGUCUCAUGAUAAUCAUCAUCCAACACAAAGUGGUAUCUUGUCAUCAUCUCGAAAAUAGCAAUACAUGCAAGUCUCGAAUACUUGCAACUACAACAACAUCAUCCAUCUAAAUAAAGGUAUACGCGAGAAGAGCUAUCACUAUGAGUGAGAGCGGAACUAUGCAGUACAUGAGGUGGCGGUUACGAGUCCUCUCUCACGCUAGCAUGAACCUCAAGUAACUAGCUUCUCCUUCUUGUCUGCUUUUGAAGCCUUUAUGGCUGGCGCCCGUGAACCCAUUCGCUUGCGCCUGACACUCAUGCCACUCGUUGUACACCCCCGGAACCUUCCCUUUGUACACGACAUAGCAAUUCCAUCUCGCCAUCAAGAAACUAGGUACCUGUUAGAGAUGCAUGUUCAUGAAGAGGAUGUACAAUCAUAUAUAUGCAACAAAAUAUACUAGAGCAACACCGAAAAAUAAAGGGUUAGCAACUAGAUGCAACAUACAGUACGUAAAUUAAUGAACUAGAGGUACGCAGGUCAUCGUACGCAAACUAACAAAGUAGCGUUACGCAAGUUUGGCAGGGACCAUGGACAUCACAAAGUUUCAUUGCUACAAAAAGUAUACAAGUUCAACCGACACAUAUCAUCAUCAUCGGCAUCAUAAAUCACUAGAAGUUCCAUCCUUCCAUAUCAUCGAGGAUGGACCCUAGCUUCUUGGCCGGCGUGAGGUCUAGACGUUGCAUGCCUAUGCGAGUUCGGACGUCAGCUCGCGAUAUAGGGCCGUGGUGGAACAUCCCCUUCUCAUCGACGACUUCUUUCAUGAUGAUCAUCGCAAUGUCGCUUUGGAUGCGAAAGAAGUCAUCUCUAAGUUUAUAAUCCGCUUCUCCAUGAGAUUCUAGCCACUUGUGGAUAUGAUCAUCAUUUCUGCUUCUCAUGUGAAGCUUUUGGUGAUCCGUGUUGAACUGAAUCAUGAGAUGGACGAUGUAGAAUCCAUCCUUCUUGCUUGGUUUUGGGACAUGGAUGCAGGAGAAGUUAGUUUUAUGCGCGGAACCCAUCUUCUUGUUCCUUUGUUUCCUGAUCUGCACGUGGCCACCUCUAAAGCUGAAGCCUUGGAGAGCAUCAUCUAGAAUAUUCAUUAUGUGGGUGUAGUCUUUUUUCUUGUAGUCUCUGGAAGGGUCAAAAUACAUGGCGUGGGAGACUUGCGGGUAAAGAACGAUAAGGACGGCGCGCCCGUUGCUGCGGGGAAAAGACACCUCAAAUUAUUCCCCAUAUGAGAGAGAAGGAAUGAUUGAAAUGUACGGAAGGGUUGUCCGGAACUGACUUACUUUGGAUGAUAAGGCACGAGGACAAUUUCCCGGUCCUUAUUCUGUACCAUGAAGUUUUGGAGCUACUCCCUAGCAGUUUCACGCUCAAAGUCGUCAAGACUCAAGAAAGACUCGUGCAUGUAGUACAGAUCCGCCACACAGAUUUGCGAGACUUCUUCACUCUUCAUGACGGAGCUCAUAUGUAGCGCAAAAAGGCGGACGAUUGUAAAAUCGAGCCGCCUUGUUAGAAACAUCUCAAAGAUAUGGUCAAACCGCAGGAAGAACACCUCCGCGGGCCGUGUCUCGACGUAGCACUUCCCCUCAGGCACACGAGCCGCGUAUGUCAGAUAUCCUGGAUCCUUUGAGGCUAGUAGGCUUUUCUCAGUCGACAGCACAUGGUCGUGCAGUCUCCUGAGAUCCCCUGAUAGUGCCUCCAGCGGUUUCGGCGGUAGCAUCGGCUCGCCCGUGAGAUGGAACAUGACCGCACCUUUCACGGGUACACGCUCUUCAGAAUGCAUCGUCUGGCUGCUAUGUUCUCUGGCUUGUUUGGAGGCAGCUAUCUUCCCCGAUCUCUUCCUCUCCUUUUUCUUGGGCACACCUUCCAGACCCUUCCUUAACCCCUGCCCCAAUGUUCCCGGGCUAAGUACUGUACGACCCUCGCGCCCGGCUAGUUGAGCCUGUGUUGAGGCGGCAUCUUCAGGCGUGUCCUGUGAGGAUUUCACGAAGAGAGACUUUUUGCAAUCCCUGCUACGACCUUCCUGCCCGGGCAUAUCAUCCAUAUCCUCAUUAGCAAGAUGAUAGCCCGAUUCGUCAUAUGGUUGACUCAUCAUAUCUAUGUCACAGUCAUAUGUGUUUGUAUUGAGGAAAUCCAUAUGGUCGACCUCCGUCUUAUCAUCCAUUCUCUAUUCUACAUGACAAAUUACAUCAGCCAGUACUAUUUCACCCCCUUCAUCAUGUCGUCCGCCGCUCUCACCCGGCACUACAGGAGCUGAUAAUUGCGUAGGCGGGGUGGUGGUCUCCGCACAUGCUUGUUGAUGUGUGGUUAUUGGUGUGCUCUCGGCCGGCUCCAGACGAAUAAGAUUCUUAGGCCAUAGCAGCACCCAACCCUUGCAGCUUCCAAUCCACGGCGGCGUCUCGUCGUCCGCUCCCACAUGCUGUACUGGAGGAGGCAAAUCCUCGUGCCCCGAUUUCACACUAGUCAAGCUAACCCUGAAGUGCCCAGCGGGGAUCGGCUGGUUGUGGAACGUGGGUUGCGAGGGGUCCAUUAUCAUCCCCUUUCCCACGUCCACUUUCUGGCCUUUGAUCAAGUAGAGUAUGGUGCACGGGGUUUCUUUCGCCUGCAAACACAUAUGUCUUUGGCUUAAAACAACCGAAAGGCACAAAAAUGGAAUAUUAUAUAUAUAUAUAUAUAUAUAUAUAUAUAUAUAUGUUGGUGCGACAGGUAAUUACCGUGAUGGCGUCGAGCUCAGCCAAAGACGAAGGCCCACCUAGCGCGCUAGAGACUAAGGACGGGCUGCUAUGAGCGGGAGCGGCUGCGAGAGGAGGCCCGGUUGCGUGAGCAAGUGAUGGUGCGAUGGGGUUGUUGUUCAUGGAGUUUCUCCCGACGAAACUGGGCAACGGGAAAUCAUGUACCGUCUUGUCUGGAUUUUCCUUCGUCCAGUUGAUGAUAACUGGAACCAAGUUAGUAGCGAAAUCAUUUCUGCAGGCAGUUACAGCUGCAUUGACUGCCUGCUGUAGCAACUCACAUUUGUCCUCGGCUGCUUUUUUCGCGUCCUCAGCUGCUUUUUUUCUCCACCGCAAGCUUCACCUUCGCGUCGAUGUCCGCCUGACUAAACUUCUUUUUCUGCUUCUUGGCCUCCGGGCCCUCGUUGUAAAACACCUUCCACGUGGCGCCGUCUCCAGCGCCGUGUACACGACCAUAUUGCGGCCGCUGGCCCAAAGGGAGUCCCUUAAGUUCGUUCAAGGCCCGGUUGAGAGGGGUGUCCCACUUGGGCCUCAUCGGAGAAGUAGGGCUUUCGGCUGCAAGCAGGUGUUGCUUCUCCAGUAGUCUAAUCAAUUUCCUCGUGAUCUUGUCCGUGUAAAAAAACCUUUUUCUCCUUGUCCCACUUGUAGCGGGCCCUGAUGAAAUCACGCUCCAAGGGGUUGGUGAACUUCGCGAAGGGGUCUGGGAGAUCCGCGGCUUCACGUUCCGCGUCCUCCUUAUCCCAUAUGGGCCUUUUACCGAGGUAGCCACGGCUUCCGAGGCGAUGCUUCCCCGUGUUCCUUUGCUGAAGGCUCUUGAAUUUUGCAGCCUUAGCCUUGGCUGCCUCGGUAGCGCAAGUGUCCUUGAACUUUUUGAACUCCUCUUCCGUAAGUGUCGGAUUUUCCUCUAGAAUCUUGGACAGGGGUUCAUCAGCCUCAAUAGCUCGUUUCACCCUCCCUUUCCAGGAGGCCAAAUCAUUGCUGAACAUGCCCAUGGCGUAAUUGUUAAUCUUUUUCAUCUUCGGAUCAUCCCACAGUUGUUCUAUGUUAUCAUCCCGGUCGGGGAACUUGAAUCUCUUGUGCAACUUCGUUAGGAGCAACUGCGUCAAAUGUUCUUUAGUCCUUAAGUCAUCGUCGUUGCUGCUCAUGCAUUCCCGUAGGAUGCAUCCUACUUGGUUCCCAUAGCACUUGCGAGGUUCUUCCGGCUCUAACGGCUCAAACUUGCCAGGUGCCAUCUUUGUGAUCACAAGUCGUCCAAUCCCUAGUUUGUUAGGUUUUCGUAUCCUCUGCUUCUUAUGCUUCCUCUUUUCGGUAGCGGCAUCGGGGCCGGUACUUUCCCCGCCGGUACCUUCCCCACCGGUCUCGGCGCCGCCAUCGGUGCCGGCGCCGUCGGUGUCGAUGUCGGCGUCAGUACCAUCAUCGAGGCCGACCUGCAAACCUUUCUUAGCAGUCAAAUAGUCGAGGUACUCUUGUUCACCCUCAUAAUCCAUCUCGUCUGCAUCUUGGUCAGAAGGCCCAGUUUCUUCGUUGUUUGACAUGUUUCCUAUGAUUAAGUGUCCUCAUUUAUUUCUAAAAGUAUGAAUAAAUGAGAAAUGACAUAAAAAAAGAAAUCUAUGUGCCAGCACUCGAUAUGCCAACUAUGUAGCACAAAUCAUGCCUUUAUUCACGGGAAAUUUCGGCAUGACCUUUGCUAAAAAAAUGGACAUUUCGAGCGCCUGAAAUUCACCGGAACGGAAAUGAAUCAACAUUCCGGNNNNNNNNNNNNNNNNNNNNNNNNNNNNNNNNNNNNNNNNNNNNNNNNNNNNNNNNNNNNNNNNNNNNNNNNNNNNNNNNNNNNNNNNNNNNNNNNNNNNNNNNNNNNNNNNNNNNNNNNNNNNNNNNNNNNNNNNNNNNNNNNNNNNNNNNNNNNNNNNNNNNNNNNNNNNNNNNNNNNNNNNNNNNNNNNNNNNNNNNNNNNNNNNNNNNNNNNNNNNNNNNNNNNNNNNNNNNNNNNNNNNNNNNNNNNNNNNNNNNNNNNNNNNNNNNNNNNNNNNNNNNNNNNNNNNNNNNNNNNNNNNNNNNNNNNNNNNNNNNNNNNNNNNNNNNNNNNNNNNNNNNNNNNNNNNNNNNNNNNNNNNNNNNNNNNNNNNNNNNNNNNNNNNNNNNNNNNNNNNNNNNNNNNNNNNNNNNNNNNNNNNNNNNNNNNNNNNNNNNNNNNNNNNNNNNNNNNNNNNNNNNNNNNNNNNNNNNNNNNNNNNNNNNNNNNNNNNNNNNNNNNNNNNNNNNNNNNNNNNNNNNNNNNNNNNNNNNNNNNNNNNNNNNNNNNNNNNNNNNNNNNNNNNNNNNNNNNNNNNNNNNNNNNNNNNNNNNNNNNNNNNNNNNNNNNNNNNNNNNNNNNNNNNNNNNNNNGGGGGCGAGCGCCGGGGUCGGGGGCGAGCGCCGGCGCCGGGGUCGAGGGCAAGCGCCGGGGCCGGGUCGGGCGCGGCGGUGCGACGGGGGAAGAGAGAGUGGGGAUUUGGGGGGAAAUGGCGGGAUGAAGCAGGAAGAGUGAGAAUUUUGGGUUAAGUGGACGUAGCAGUAGCGCGUUUGGACAAAACACGCUGCUACUACCUUCAGUAGCUGUAGCGGUUUAUAUCAAAUGCGCUACUACUACCUUCAGUAGUUGUAGCGGUUCAGACAAAACGCGCUGCUACUACCUUCGCUACUGCCAGUUUUCCUUUUCCUUUUCCUUUAUUUUCUCCCACUUUUAUUUCCCGAGAGCAGGGAACGAAGGGAGGGCGAUAUAUAUUGCAUCAUUUGACGGUUAAAUAUGUAUGCAAAAUAGGAAUAUAUAUAUUACAUCAUUGGACCCAUGCAUAAUAAUGACUAAGUAUGUAUACAAAAUAGGAACAAAUAUAUAUAGGACAACACUAUUCUAAUCCCGGGAUUAGAAUAGUUAUUUGGAUCACAACGUCCUAGGGAGCCGCGAAGAUGAUCCCGAACCAGAGCGAGCGAACCGAAGAAGCCCACUGUGAGCGCGAGGAAAAAAAGCCCACCCUGGACCCCUCGUGGCCUCGUCACACACCUCUCGAUCCCCACCCGAGCCACCUCCCGACCGCCGCCGCCGCCCACCGCCUACCUGGCGUUGCCUCGCGGGCCGGGAUCCAGCCACCGACGAGCGGAUCCUUGCUAGCUUGCCGCCGCCACACGCAAGCACCUCACCCCCGAGCCGCCUCCCCACUUUCCCACACGUGGCCGCCGUCCUCCAUUGUUGCUUCACCGACGGCCGGCUGCGCCAGGCCAGCGCCGUCCCCAAUGGCGCAGCGGCCGAGCACCUCCAUUGAACGUGCCGGCGGCUCAGGCCACCCGACCCGGCCCCUCCCUCAAACGCACUGCCCCAACCUUCUCUAACGGAGCCGACGGCGACCACCGGAGCUUUCCUGAGGCGUGUCGCGUGCUCCUGCUAGCCGGGGCUGGGCGCACCUCGUCUGGAAAGAAGAAACUUCACCGAGCAUGUGAAGUUCGGCCGGUGAACCUAUGCAGUCCGACGGUGCUUGCAUGCUUGUAUCCGGUAGCAUACAUUGCGGAUGUAUCAAAAGGCAAGCACCGAUCUCUUUCGUUACUAAACAAUAGUGUGUGCUAUUUGAUGAAAUGGAUUCACAAUGAAGUGGGCAAAAUUUCUCGUGUUUAAGUUGAGUCAUUGUGGCCUUAAUCAUCUUGUGCGAGUAGAAAAAAUUUGGUUGCUUCACAUGUGCCUGCGCGGCUCUGUUGGUGGUUUUCUGCCUGAGGUUGAAGAUGACAGGCAACCUGGACUACCAGCCCACGCGCGGAUUAGGCGCUGCCUGCAGCUGCAGGAGAGGUUGGCCUACAGUUGGAGGAGGCCCUGGCCUUCAGCUGGCAAUUUAGAGGAACUUGCCACUAUGAAAAUCUGAAAAUCUAACUUGAC